UGGGGAAUAUUGCACAAUGGGCGCAAGCCUGAUGCAGCCAUGCCGCGUGUAUGAAGAAGGCCUUCGGGUUGUAAAGUACUUUCAGCGGGGAGGAAGGCGAUAAGGUUAAUAACCUUGUCGAUUGACGUUACCCGCAGAAGAAGCACCGGCUAACUCCGUGCCAGCAGCCGCGGUAAUACGGAGGGUGCAAGCGUUAAUGGGAAUUACUGGGCGUAAAGCGCACGCAGGCGGUCUGUCAAGUCGGAUGUGAAAUCCCCGGGCUCAACCUGGGAACUGCAUUCGAAACUGGCAGGCUAGAGUCUUGUAGAGGGGGGUAGAAUUCCAGGUGUAGCGGUGAAAUGCGUAGAGAUCUGGAGGAAUACCGGUGGCGAAGGCGGCCCCCUGGACAAAGACUGACGCUCAGGUGCGAAAGCGUGGGGAGCAAACA
Molecule: ribosomal RNA, 427 nt
Filed under: uncultured bacterium
Lineage: Bacteria
Description: partial 16S ribosomal RNA
Rfam family: Bacterial small subunit ribosomal RNA
Source: RNAcentral